CACACCGCCCGUCACAUCAUGGGAGUUGGCUUUACCCGAAGACGGUGCGCUAACCCGCAAGGGAGGCAGCCGGCCACGGUAGGGUCAGCGACUGGGAUG
Molecule: ribosomal RNA, 99 nt
Filed under: uncultured bacterium
Lineage: Bacteria
Description: partial 16S ribosomal RNA
Rfam family: Bacterial small subunit ribosomal RNA
Source: RNAcentral